UUGAAAUGCGUAGAGAUCGGAAGGAACAUCAGUGGCGAAGGCGAUUGACUGGGCUGAUACUGACGCUGAGGUGCGAAGGCGUGGGUAGCAAACAGGAUUAGAGACCCUGGUAGUCCACGCAGUAAACGAUGAGAACUAGCUGUUGGGAAGCGUCGACUUCUUAGUAGCGAAGCUAACGCGUUAAGUUCUCCGCCUGGGGAGUACGGUCGCAAGAUUAAAACUCAAAGGAAUUGACGGGGGCCCGCACAAGCGGUGGAACAUGUGGUUUAAUUCGAUGCAACGCGAAAAACCUUACCUAGUCUUGACAUCCUCGGAAGGCGCUAGAGAUAGCGCUGUGCCUUCGGGAACCAGGUGACAGUGCUGCAUGGCUGUCGUCAGCUCGUGUCGUGAGAUGUUGGGUUAAGUCCCGUAACGAGCGCAACCCUUAUCCUUAGUUGCCAGCACCUCGGGUGGGAACUCUAAGGAGACUGCCGGUGAUAAACCGGAGGAAGGUGGGGACGUCGUCAAGUCAUCAUGGCCCUUAUGACUAGGGCUACACACGUGUUACAAUGGGCAAUACAGAGGGCAGCAAAGCGGCGACGUGAAGCUAAUCCUUAAAAUUGUUCGUAGUCCGGAUUGGAGUCUGAAACUCGACUCCAUGAAGUUGGAAUCGCUAGUAAUCGCGAAUCAGCAUGUCGCGGUGAAUACGUUCCCGGGCCUUGUACACACCGCCCGUCACACCAUGGGAGUGGGUUGUACCAGAAGCAGCUAGGCUAACCCUCGGG
RNAcentral lists this ribosomal RNA (764 nucleotides) under uncultured bacterium. RNAcentral describes it as "bacterial SSU rRNA". It matches the Rfam family "Bacterial small subunit ribosomal RNA", at positions 681 to 1446 of the family's 1533-position model. The record is from RNAcentral.